Molecule: ribosomal RNA, 459 nt
Filed under: uncultured bacterium
Lineage: Bacteria
Description: partial 16S ribosomal RNA
Rfam family: Bacterial small subunit ribosomal RNA
Source: RNAcentral
CCUACGGGAGGCUGCAGUGAGGAAUAUUGGUCAAUGGGCGAGAGCCUGAACCAGCCAAGUCGCGUGAGGGAAGACGGUCCUAUGGAUUGUAAACCUCUUUUGCCGGGGAGCAAAAAGCGGUACGUGUACCGCAUCGAGAGUACCCGGAGAAAAAGCAUCGGCUAACUCCGUGCCAGCAGCCGCGGUAAUACGGAGGAUGCGAGCGUUAUCCGGAUUUAUUGGGUUUAAAGGGUGCGCAGGCGGCGAGUUAAGUCAGCGGUAAAAUUUCGGGGCUCAACCCCGACAAGCCGUUGAAACUGGCGUGCUAGAGUGGGCGAGAAGUAUGCGGAAUGCGUGGUGUAGCGGUGAAAUGCAUAGAUAUCACGCAGAACUCCGAUUGCGAAGGCAGCAUACCGGCGCACAACUGACGCUCAGGCACGAAAGCGUGGGUAUCGAACAGGAUUAGAUACCCGGGUAGUC